RNAcentral lists this ribosomal RNA (253 nucleotides) under uncultured bacterium. RNAcentral's name for it is "partial 16S ribosomal RNA". It matches the Rfam family "Bacterial small subunit ribosomal RNA", at positions 524 to 776 of the family's 1533-position model. The record is from RNAcentral.
UACAGAGGGGGCCAGCGUUAUUCGGAAUUAUUGGGCGUAAAGGGCGCGUAGGCGGCCCUGCGUGUCUUCCGUGAAAUCCCUCGGCUUAACUGAGGACGUGCGGAAGAAACUGCAGGGCUCGAGUCCGGGAGAGGAGGGUGGAAUUCCCAGUGUAGCGGUGAAAUGCGUAGAUAUUGGGAGGAACACCGGUGGCGAAGGCGGCCCUCUGGACCGGUACUGACGCUGAUGCGCGAAAGCGUGGGGAGCAAACAGG